GAGGAGGAGGAGAACACGAACAAGAAGAAGGUGAUCCCGCAGUACAGAUCAGUAAUUCCAGCACUGGGGAGGUGGAAACAGGAGGAUCUCUGGGGGUCAUUAGCCUGCCAAUCUAGCCAAAUUGUGAGCUCCAGAUUCACUGAGAGAUACUGUCUCAAACAAGAAGCUAGAGAGUUAUAGAAGAAAGUGCCUCUGGCCUCAACACACACAUGCACACACAUACACACACACACACAUACACAGUCACAUAUACUCAUUCACACAGAGAUAUACAUGCACACAAAUUCCAUUUUUAAAAAAUAAGAAAACUGACACAAAACACAUCAUAUAACCUAUCCAAGGUAAUGGGACUAUUUAAAAGUAGCUUUCAGCAAAUAAAGGUUUAGAGCUACAAAUUCAUUUUACUCAACUCCAAUUAGGUCCAUGAACAUACGGUUAUUUGUGCAUACAUACAUGUUUGCACACUCUGAAAGCAGCAUCAUAUAUACUGAAAAAAUUCUGAAUUUUGAGUCACAGAAGUGUGAUCUUUAACACAGUGUCCUGUAUAUGACCUCUGUGUGACUGUGAGAGAAGCUGAGUACCAAAGGCCCGCCUUCCAGCCAGUGACGUCUUGGAAACACUAAGCCCGAAGCAUUUCCAUCUUUCUCUGAAGAGCCAUGUGUGUGUCCUCUUCAACCGGCUCGGCACUUUUGUUUUAAUGUGCCUCUGCCUCGCUUUUGAAUCAUCUCAAUUCAGGCUCCCUAACAGGAAAAAAAUAAAAAUAAAAUAAAAAUAAAAAACCUCAAGUCAUCAAAACAGACUUCCUUCAUUAAAAAGAGUCUCAGAAAUGACAAUGGUCUCCAUCAAUCGUUUGAGAAAACAAGGUUUUGUUUGCCUGUACAGAUCUAACCUAAAUGUAGACCAGCAUAUGAAUUCAGAACUCUCAUCUUUCUACGGAUAAACACAAGUGGAAAGGUUUAGAAAAUUCAUAACUGCCCUUGGGACAGACCUCAUAGAAGUUACAGUAAUGAGAGAGAUCAAAAGAAGGGAGGGCUUAGAGCCCAAGCUUUAAGUUCAAACAGACUUGAAUUCUAAUCCCAGCUCAUUGUCCGUUCCCCGUGUAACUAUGUUAUUCUUAGAUGAUUUAUUAUCCUCUCAUAAAGCAAAGACGCUCCCUCGCACAAGGGUCCACAAUAUUUCAAAGAGCCAAGUUUAAGAGGCUCGGGCUUCCCUUCCCCACCCAGAGCUCUUUCCUGGCAGAGCUGAGGAGCUGGGCCAGGCUCCAGGGAAGGGCAGAGCCUGCUGUUUCCCAUCACCUGCUGGACGACUUUCCCUCUUUCCCCCACAUAGCCUCCCUCCUCACCACACACCCUUUCCCCUUGCUCUUCCAAAUAUUUUUCUUUUAGUCUCGGACAGUUUCACUUCUCUCUACUUUCAUGCGUGAGUGAGAGGCGCAAACGUGCAACAACGAAAUAUUAAAAUUUUAAGUUCCAGGUGUCUGGGGAAAUUAGGAUUAACAAGAAGCAGCAGAGCUGAGAGCCUGUAACUGUCCAGAGGCUCUUCAGAAGCUCUGUAAAAAGCAUAGAGUAGUAAGGCUUUGCAAACUGACCUGACCUGUUCGCCUCGAAGUUCUGCCUCUUAACUAUUAGUAUAUUCUUGGAAAAACCUGAAAGGCCCAGGGUUCCUUUCUCUUUUACUGUGAAAGUGGGGGAACUAGACAAAAGCAUUCACAUAUGGCACUUAGAAUCUAUAGGCAAAAUGUGUCUGUGGACUGUUAUAAACCCCACCUCCCUCCUCAUCGCCCCUGAACCUUGCUUUCCAGUGGCCACUACGUUCCAAGUUACACUUUGCUACGGUAGUAUAUGGAGCAAAGAGACCCUCCCUGGCUUUCUUAUGUAACUAUAAUCAGCUUUCCCAUGUGCUAGUGAAAUCCACCCUUGGAAGGUAAACCCUGAGAAGAGAUGGGUGGGUAAACACUUCCUAAUUUGAAAACUUGGCAGACAACUGGAUCAUGGCCAUUUCACAGGUUUGUAUGAGAAGGCUUCAGAGUCAGCCUUCUGUGGACAUAGGCCCGUCUGUUCAUUUCUACCGUCCACUGGGUUCCAACCCACUCCCCUCUUAUAACUUUAGAGACAAAACUAAGAGGCAAUGCAGCGAUGGUGUGGGAAGCAGAGAUCUGGGAUUGUACAGGGGGCUUCCAGAAGACAUUCCUGGGUGAAGUGAAAAUUAUGAAAAAAACAAAAAAAAACAAAAAAGCGGAGCAGCCAGAUCCCAGGCUGCGUACACUUCAGCAAGGCUGAAAUCAUGAACAGGUUUUCUCUUGUAGACUCCUGUGUGAGGUAGGUCCUAGGACUGCCAACAAGUGCCCUGCAUGAUGCACUUGAAGGUUCAGAUCUGAGGCAGCCUCUCCAAUAAAGGCUAUCUGCCAUCUAAUGUACCUGUUUUCCAAGCAUGAAAUUGGGAAUUAAAGCCUCUGCCCUUGGCUUCUGUUUCUCCUUGUAACUCUAGAAAUUAGCCUGUUCUGAUGAGUGUCUGCUUUUGUUUGUUUUUUAAUGCAGAAAGAAAUCAAGAAACUAUAAGCUUAGGGGAUGAAAUGUUUCAUUGUAAAUGUCUGCGACAAAACUGAUACAUUUGUAUUAGCAAAGUGUAAACUGUCUUUCUGGCUCGGAGAAGCAAAUUGUCUCAUUUUUCUUCUGAAUGCCCAAGAUAGCAUUCACCACCAUGGCUUUUGGUAGGACUUCCCUGUUUUGCCUUCUUCUUGCCUACUUCUUAUGGGAGAAAUAAGUUAGAUCCCAUACAAAAUGUUUCUUCAUCGUCUCCAAUAAAGGAUCAUUUUAAUAAAUUGUGAGGUGGACCUUUGGCUGAGUAUUUCAGUAUUGAGCAUUGAGCGGUUAUGAAUUGAGCGUGCAUCUCCCACACAUGCACGGCUUCUUUCACGAUCUAGUGAUUAAUCAAAUUCAAAUCUGGGCAAACUUUUGAUAACAUGCAUCGAAGUGGAUGUGAUUUGAUAGGAUGGAAGGUUUACACAACCCAGGAAAUGAGAUUUGUUUGGAACUUUGCUGGCGUACAUGCCUUUCCCUUUGAGUCAGAGUUCCCUAGAUGUUAGUGUUAUGGGAAAAGAAUCUGCUCCCUCCCAUCGACACCACCACCACCACCACCACCACCGGACUGCUUACUUUGUUUUUCCAUUUUAGCUCUUUGUCAUGCUAAGGUAGUCAGAAGGGAAUUCCACAUUUGUUACUUGGAGAUGUCAAAGACGUAAAAGGGAUGAGGGUUUGGCUCUGAAUACAAUGUGUUUUCUUCGAAGGAGAACUCAGUACUGCCUUCUAGUUCUAACAGCUUUCCUGCCUCCAUCUGAGAAGCAUGUAUUGUCAUCCCGGAGCCAUAAAGGGAACACGGCAGGAAAGCUACAGGCAAAGCCCUACCUGCUGGUGAAGCCUGACUUCUGGCUCCCAUGACGAGGUCUAGACCUGCAUGCUUGAGCUGGCUCCAUUCUCAGGCUCCUUUUCAUAGCUCCAUGAUCUCUGCCAGUUCCCAAGGCUACCUCCCUCCUCACUUGUAAUCAGAAAAGGACCUAUUCCCUGUGGCUCAAUGAAGGGCCUGGAAUUAAUUCUCUCUACUGAUAGGACUUGGAGCAUGUAAUAACUCUUAACCAAUCUGAGAGUCCAUAAAAUCCAUGAAGAUUUAGGCCAAUCACAACUCACCUUGGCAGCCUGAAAGGGUCCAGUAUGUGAGGCUGAGAAUUUUCGCACUUUGGGAGG
This 3740-nucleotide long non-coding RNA is filed under the name Mus musculus (house mouse). RNAcentral's name for it is "long non-coding RNA chr12:75351442-75355182". Lineage: Eukaryota; Metazoa; Chordata; Mammalia; Rodentia; Muridae. The record is from RNAcentral.